UACGUAGGGAGCAAGCGUUGUCCGGAAUCAUUGGGCGUAAAGCGCGCGUAGGCGGCCUUGUAAGUCCGUUGUGAAAGUCAAAGGCUCAACCUUUGAAAGCCGGUGGAUACUGCAGGGCUAGAGUCCGGAAGAGGCGAGUGGAAUUCCUGGUGUAGCGGUGGAAUGCGCAGAUAUCAGGAGGAACACCAAUAGCGAAGGCAGCUCGCUGGGACGGUACUGACGCUAAGGCGCGAAAGCGUGGGGAGCGAACAGG
This 253-nucleotide ribosomal RNA is filed under the name uncultured bacterium. RNAcentral's name for it is "partial 16S ribosomal RNA". It matches the Rfam family "Bacterial small subunit ribosomal RNA", at positions 524 to 776 of the family's 1533-position model. The record is from RNAcentral.